Molecule: small RNA, 665 nt
Filed under: Pongo abelii (Sumatran orangutan)
Lineage: Eukaryota; Metazoa; Chordata; Mammalia; Primates; Hominidae
Description: processed transcript
Source: RNAcentral
UUUUUUUUCCUACUCAGAGCCCCUUGCUUGACACACAAAACUCGCAUUGCCUACUGGAUCAAGGACAGACAGCUCACCAACCACGACAGCGCCAUACUGGAACUUCAAAAAGUUCUGAAAACAUGUUGUGCUCAGAGCAUGAAAAUUUUCUGCUGUCUUUGGAACUUUGUCUACAAACAGUUAGAAGAAGAUGCAGCCCAAGGGCUCACCAUGGGUGGCGAUGUUGAAGAACAUGAAGACCUUACUGCUGAUAGCACCAUCUUCAAAUUUAUGGAAGCUUAUACAGAGUGGGAGGUGAAGAGGUGGUCAGACAACAAUCUGAUAAUGAAACAAACAAAUGUGAAGAGAAGACGCUUAGAUGAUGGUGGCCCUGAAUUGGAAAAGGCUGUCUGGGAGCUCGGCUGCCCACCCAGCAUUCAGUGUCUGCGACCUUCUGUCUGUUAUGCUUGUGUCUGGAUUUUUCAAGUUUUAAUUUUUUUUUAAUUCUUAGUUUUUGUGGAUACAUAGUAGGUGUAUAUAUUUAUGGGUUACAUGAGAUGUUUUGAUACAGGUAUGCAAUACGUAAUAAUCACAUCAUGGAGAAUGGGGUACCCAUCACAUCAAGCAUUUAUCCUUUGUGUUACAAACGGUCCAGUUAGACUCUUUUAGUUAUUAUUAAAACGUAC